This 1246-nucleotide long non-coding RNA is filed under the name Lathyrus oleraceus (garden pea). RNAcentral's name for it is "Pisum sativum (pea) long non-coding RNA (PSAT_LNC021950)". Lineage: Eukaryota; Viridiplantae; Streptophyta; Magnoliopsida; Fabales; Fabaceae. The record is from RNAcentral.
UUUCUCUGCUCGAGUAUCUUUCAACCACCCAUCAAGGUAUACUUGGUUGGAGUCAGGGGUAGAUUUUGUUCUCGUCGUUUCGAAUAUCUUUCAACCAUCCAUCAAGGUAAACUUGGUUGGAAUCAGAGGAGGAUUCUUUCUUUUUCAGCUCGAGUGUCUUUCAACCAACCAUCAAGAUAAACUUGUUUGGGAUCAGAGGUGGAUUUUGUUUUCUCUACUCGGGUAUCUUUCAACCACCCAUCAAGGUAUACUUGGUUGGAGUCAGGGGUAGAUUUUGUUCUCUCGUUUCGAAUAUCUUUCAACCAUCCAUCAAGGUAAACUUGGUUGGAGUCAGACAUGGUUUUUGUUUGCUUUGCUCGAGUAUUUUUCAACCAUCCAUCAAGGUAAACUUGGUUGGAGUCAGAUGUAGAUUUUUCUUUCUCAGCUCGGGGAUCUUUUAACCAUCCAUCAAGAUAAACUUGUUUGGAGUCAGAGGUGGAUUUUGUUUUCUCUGCUCGGGUAUCUUUCAACCAUCCAUCAAGGUAAACUUGAUUGGAGUUAGGCAUGGACUUUUCUUUCUCGACUCUGAUAUUUUUCAACCAUCCAUCAAGAUAAACUUGGUUUGAGUCACUUGCAGGUUUUGUUUUCUCAACUCGGGUAUUUUUCAACCAUCCAUCAAGGUAAACUUGGUUGGAUUCAGAGGUGGAUUUUGCGUUCUCUGCUCUGGUAUCUUUCAACCAUCCAUCAAGGUAAACUUGGUUGGAGUUAGGUGUUGACUUUUCUUUCUCAGCUCUGAUAUCUUUCAACCAUCCAUCAAGAUAAACUUGGUUGGUGUCACCGGUAGAUUUUGCUUUCUCAGCUCGAUUAUCUUUCAACCAUCCAUCAAGGUAAACUUGGUUGGACUCAGAGGUGUCUUUUGCUUUCUUUGCUCUGGAAUCUUUCAACCAUCCAUCAAGAUAAACUUGAUCAGAUUUCUGGGAGGAUUUGGUUUUCUCUGCUCGUGUAUCUUUCAACCAUCCAUCAAGAUAAACUUGGUUAGAGUUAGCAAUGUGUUUUUGACUCUUCAAUGGAUUUUUGAGCCAACCAUCAAGGUAAGGUUGAUCAGCUUGUAUUUCUUGUACAUUCUCUUGCUGAAGUUUGAUAUAUCGGGCAAAGCUUCCUUGUCCAUUCUACAAUACAAUUGAAUAAAUGGAUAUUAGUGAGUUAUUUUUGGAUGGUAUAUAUGAUUACAAAAACAAAAUAAUGUGUUUUAUAAGACACAUUAUGU